RNAcentral lists this ribosomal RNA (331 nucleotides) under Bacillus cereus. RNAcentral describes it as "bacterial SSU rRNA". It matches the Rfam family "Bacterial small subunit ribosomal RNA", at positions 1156 to 1486 of the family's 1533-position model. The record is from RNAcentral. Lineage: Bacteria; Bacillati; Bacillota; Bacilli; Caryophanales; Bacillaceae.
UUUUAACUGGGAGGGAGGUGGGGAUGACGUCAAAUCAUCAUGCCCCUUAUGACCUGGGCUACACACGUGCUACAAUGGACGGUACAAAGAGCUGCAAGACCGCGAGGUGGAGCUAAUCUCAUAAAACCGUUCUCAGUUCGGAUUGUAGGCUGCAACUCGCCUACAUGAAGCUGGAAUCGCUAGUAAUCGCGGAUCAGCAUGCCGCGGUGAAUACGUUCCCGGGCCUUGUACACACCGCCCGUCACACCACGAGAGUUUGUAACACCCGAAGUCGGUGGGGUAACCUUUUUGGAGCCAGCCGCCUAAGGUGGGACAGAUGAUUGGGGGAAGU